This 62-nucleotide transfer RNA is filed under the name Oreophryne sp. TNHC-GDC 18615. RNAcentral describes it as "tRNA-Trp". Lineage: Eukaryota; Metazoa; Chordata; Amphibia; Anura; Microhylidae. The record is from RNAcentral.
CAAUUUCAAGCCACAAAUACCCGCCUACCCAAAUGCCCCAGCACGGGAACAAGCCCCCCCCC